This 1312-nucleotide long non-coding RNA is filed under the name Homo sapiens (human). Its description in RNAcentral is "HSALNT0001839". The record is from RNAcentral. Lineage: Eukaryota; Metazoa; Chordata; Mammalia; Primates; Hominidae.
AGAUCGAGCAUCCCUAGGUGUUCCCAGACAACACACGUGAGUCUGAUGCUACAGAACCUAACCCUCUGCCCCUCCAGCAACAGGGAGGCACUUCCAGCCCCUGCUCUUGAGCACGUACUGGGUGCCAGGCUCGGUACUGGAUGCGUGGAUGUACAGUGAAUAGGGUGGCAUUCUUGCUGCCCUCACUGAGCUAGCUAUACUAGUGGUGGACGUCAGGGUGUGACAGGGAAGACUCAACCGAGAAAGAGGCAGAUGGUCUGAGUCCAGCAAGAGUGAGGAGAGUUCAUGAGGCACCGGGAAGAGGACAGUGUCCUUUUGGAGCCCUGAGGCAGGGACCUGCUUAGCACAGCUGAGUCCCAGGAUCCCUGGACUAGCUGGAGCACAAUGAGAGGAGGUGGGGGGCGCAGCCGGGCCAGGUCAUGUUGGACUCUGUAAGCCACGCUAGGAGAGGCUAUAAGCAGAGGGUUCCACAGUGAGGUUGGCAUCGCAAAAGAAAUACCUGUCUGGCUGCAGAUGGAGACAGGGUAGCAUGAGUUAGUAGUGGAGAGCAGCUGCAAUAGCCCAGGCAAGAAAUAAGGAGGCUUGGAUGAGGAUGGGGGCAGAGAGAUGGAAGGGAGCCAAUAGAAUCCGGAUAUGUUUUUGAGGGAGAACAGAAAAACCAGUGAGAUUGAUUUCAUGCACAGAUUAGGGGCCAAGCACCGUGGCUUACGCCUGCAAUCCCAACACUUUGGAAGAUGGAGGCGGAAGGAUCACCAGAGCCCAGGAGUUUGAAACUUCAAAACCAGCCUGGGCAACAUAGCAAGACCCCAUCUCUAAAAAAAAAAAAAAAAAUUAGCUGGCCCUGGUGGCACACGCCUGUAGUCCCAGCUACUAAGGAGACCAAGACAGGAGAAUUACUUGAGUCCUAAAGUCAAGGGUGCAGUGAGCCGUGAUUGCACCACUGCACUCCACCUUGGGAGACAGAGCAAGACUUGUCUCAAAAAAAAAAAGAGAGAGAGAUUAGGGAAAAAGAAAUAUCAAGGGUAGCUUCUGGGUUUCUAGCUUAAGCAACCAGUGAUGUGUUUUAAACCAUGGGGGCAGAUUUGAUGAUAAUGAGAGUAGAAUUUGAGAUGAGAAGGGGGCCUGGACAAGCCCUAAGGAGCUCCAGCAUGUGAUGGAUGUGUGUAGGAGCACGAGCAAAGGAGAUGGCGAAGGAGCAACUGGAGAGGUGGCUGGCAAAAUAGAAGACAAUGCUUGAGCCACCACACCUGGCCCAUUUGGGUCACCUAAAGAACAUUCUUUAGUGUUUGGUGUGUGUGUGUGUGUGUGUGUG